CAGGGUUUCAAGAUCUUCGAUUUUUCAUAGUCUAAACAAAGAAAAACCUCUACAUUUUCACUUCCACUACUGCACUCGAACCCUAAGUUCUUCUUCAAGUCAAGUUAAAUUAAACCUUGUUGAUGGCUUUAGCUCGAGGUGCAAAAGGCUCUAUCGGAUUUCUAAUUAACCGUUUGCGUCCUGCUCCUACGCAGUCUGGGCAUAAUUAUUCUUCUUGGGCAGGUAGGAAUCGUCAACUUUCUGAAGUUAGAGAGCCCUCAUUUAAUUAUUUGAACGAUGGAAAUUCUCAAUGUGGUUUUGGGAGAAAAAUAUUGUCGCGAAGAUUUAGUGUUGAAGCAUCGGACCAAUUGAAACUUAUUAAGCAGUUGAGGGAAAGAACUAGUGCUCCAAUAAAAGAUGUCAAGACUUCUCUCGUCACUUGCGAUUGGGAUAUUGAGGCUGCUCAGAAGGACCUUAGGAAACGAGGAGUUAUCCAAGCAUCAAAGAAGUCGUCUCGAACUGCUGCUGAGGGUUUGCUUGCACUAGCACAGAAUGGGGAUAAAGCUGCUAUUAUUGAAUUGAAUUGCGAGACUGAUUUUGUUGCAAGGAAUGAAAUAUUUCAAUACUUGGCCUUGUCCCUAGCAAGAAUAGCAUUGUCUGUUGAGAAGUAUGCUGACCAAGCUUCUAGUGGCGUUCCUUUUGACCCUGAAUACUUGGAGCAAUUAAGGAUUAAUCUUGAUCAUCCAAAACUAAGUGGAGAGACAACAGUAAGAAGUGCAAUUACGGAAGUGGCUGCAAUAAUGGGGGAGAAUAUAAAACUCAGAAGGGGUUUUGCAGUUUCUAAAUCUACACAUGGCGUUGUCUCUACCUAUAUGCAUUCAAGUCCUCAACCAGGUUUAGGCCGUAUAUCUGGAAUUCUAACUCUGGAAGCAGAGAAUGAUAGUGUCUCACUGGAUGCUCUUCAACGAGUGGGUUCACAAUUGGCAAUGCACAUAGUGGCUGCAAAACCAGUGUUCCUAUCAAAGGAGCUUGUUCCUUCUGAAGCCUUGAAUGCUGAACUUGAAAUCAUCAAAUCUCAGGCGGAAAUUUCAGGGAGAACGAAGAUGGGCAAAGAAAAAAUGGUGGAAGGUCGUUUGCGGAAAUAUAUGGAAGAAGUAGCUUUUAUGGAGCAAAAGUUUGUUGUUGAUGAUAGUAAGACAAUCAAGAAUGUGAUGGAUGGUCUGUCAAAGGAAGUGGGAUCACAGGUGGAGAUAGGCAAAUUUUUCAGAAUGGAGGUUGGAGAAGGAAUUCAGAGACUGACACAUUGAUGAUCUUGUUGAAAGUGUCCGUGAAAAAAAACAGAGUUAGAAACAUCUGGGGAGUCUUAAGUCAUGAAUCGGGCGGCUUUGAUGGAGGUUGUGUAUUGUUACACGGAAGGUGUCAGAGUUGUGGUUCAGGCAGCUAAAAUUUAAGGAACCAUAUGAUGAGAAGCUAAUUAAACAGCUGAAAGUAAAUUUUGGAGAUUCUUUUCACGUAGUUGCCCAAGGAUUUUCUUAGAAAUAAAUAAUGUAAGGAGAAGAUAGAUGUUUAGUUAAAUGGAGAGAAGUCAAUCAAAGUUGAGUGCACCUGUUGAGGCAGCUUACAUUUUCAAGUUUAUAUAAUGUCCAACAUGUAUUGUCUUCAUUUAACGUUCUUCAAAGAAAACUGAAGUUUUGCAACUGCACCAUUUGAAAUUUGAUUUUCUGUAUCUUUAAUCUCUGGAUAUCGUUUUGUUAUGAGGUUCAAACUUCUUGUUACGUAAAUGUUUCGUAACCCAGAAAUA
Molecule: RNA transcript, 1780 nt
Organism: Papaver somniferum (opium poppy)
Lineage: Eukaryota; Viridiplantae; Streptophyta; Magnoliopsida; Ranunculales; Papaveraceae
Gene name: elongation factor Ts, mitochondrial-like
Exons: 10
Source: RefSeq, a predicted model, not a curated record